UCCCAUGAGACACAAUUCUUCAUUUUUUGAUCUGCUGUCUGGACCUGGGACCCUGUUCCUGACUGGACUGACACAUGGAACUGUUCUUGAAUAUCUGCUGAAGGGAAAGGAAGAUGACCACAUGGAAGCUAUGUUAAAAGUCAAAAUGGAGAAACAUACCCAACUCCACAGAGAUGGGAUGCUUAUACGAGAUGAAGACAGAUGCCCAAGGAAUGAAGUGAGUUUUGAGUUUGCUUGUUAUAGGAUACCUGGAGCUGAAAAAGAGACAUCAGGACUGCUUUCAAAUGUACAAGUUGUGGAAUUUUCCACGAAUGCAGGGUACUAA
RNAcentral lists this long non-coding RNA (325 nucleotides) under Monodelphis domestica (gray short-tailed opossum). RNAcentral describes it as "lncRNA (ENSMODG00000032180.2)". The record is from RNAcentral. Lineage: Eukaryota; Metazoa; Chordata; Mammalia; Didelphimorphia; Didelphidae.